GAAGAGGGGAGAUGGGGUAAUGGGGGCAGUGCGAGCGAGAGACGGUAAAUCUGACACAUGCUAAUGGAUAGUGCCAAUUUAAGGAUUUCCAGGGGAAGAGAAGGAGCAAUCUACCCCUCUGUCACCACCAGACCAUGUGGAAUGGGAUGCGAUUGCAAUUUGCAACAGUGGAGAGACCUCUGAAAGCUGAGAGGCAGGAAGACAGAUGAGGAGGUUGCUGUGUUUCUGCAAGACAGGGCGAUCAUCUCUGUGUCCUUGACGACCAUCUCACUGGACACAUCACUCAUGUACUGGUUCCAGCAAGUCCGGGUUGUUUCUACCUCUGUGCAAAGCCUUUGAAAAAACACACACACAUAAACACAGCCUCCUGCUGGUCGUCCUGUAUGCGGCGUAUCUGUGCAGUCAGAGCUUCCACGUUCUCCUGCAGUUCGACAAUGUGUUUCUCAGCCUUCUGCAGCUGCUCUGUGUGGGCCUGACGCUGAGCCUCCCGGUGUGUGUCACACUCCUUCAGAGCCUGGACGGCAUUCUUGUAUCUUGACAAAAGUCAGUAAUACAGUUAGAUAUUAAGAGACAUUUAGAUAUCCUGCAGUUUUAUGCACAGUUCAUUCGGCUUUUAUGCAGAAAAAAUGCAGAUUAUCCAGCAGAAGGCAGCAGGUGACCACAAAUUAAAUGAAGGCUUUAUCUAUUUCUAAUUUUUAAUGAAUUGUAAUAACUGAAAACAAAUUAUAAAUUGAUACAUCCUGCAAUAAUUUUGGUGUCAUUUGAAGCACAUAUUUGUAACCUAGGAGGAAUUCCUUAUAGAUAGAUUUUGGGAAAACUGUCAGAGCUCCACCUCUGCUACCAUAUUUGACAUGCUGAGUCUGUAACAUACGCUGGAUGUGUAUAGCAAAUAUGGUCUAUUUUGAAAGCUGUUUUAAUGAUUUAUUAAAAAAAAAAAAAAACAUGCUGUUGCACCCCUUAGUGGUGGCCCGACAAAAACAUGAAACCAAUUUUUUGAUUUAACGAUUUCAUUUCUGCAUAUUUUCCACCAUAAAUAUCAUAAGAGAAGGAUUCAAUAAAAUACACGGGAUGGGAAAAAGUGAAAUCCUCUUCCCUCAAGCAAAAAAAAAUACAGAUACAAAACCCGCCCCCUUUAUGAUUUAUCGAAUUAUACUGCUGUCACAGAGAUAUUUUCCCUUUCUGAAGUGCACACAUGUAUACAUGUGUGUACGUGAAAAGGUUACAUGUGUUAAUAACCAGGAAUGCUGCUACUUUAGUGCAUGUAGUGAGACGUAGAACAGAGUAAUGAUAAACUUGUUUUGUAGAGACUGUUACACACUCUUUGUUUGAACCGUAUGAACCCUUUAAACGGAAACACCAUGAAACACUGCACAGCUGGUGACGUGCCAGAAGACACCAGGCCAUUUUGACAAAUGUGGCAUCACUGAAGAAGAAACAAAGUGACCAGGUUUUUGAAGUUACCAACAAAAUGCACUGGUUCCAUGCUGUCAUGAGGCGGCAGCUGGAGCAAGCACAUGUGGAAGUAAUGUUUAGUGUAUUUAUUACAAUACGUCUUAUUCCUCAGAUGUAAAAAGUGACAAAAAAUGACACUCAACCAACCAAUUACCAAACUGUCUGACAGUUUCACCCUGUCUUUGUGUGAUUGUAAGCCUCGUUCUGAUGAGUUUCACCUGCGUCUCACCCCUUACACCCUUUGGUCUCUGUGUUCCCCUCACCCUUGGUCAAUUGCUCUGUUUUUUUUCCUCUAUGUGCCUGGAAGUAUCCUGUUUAUGUUCCUUCUUGGUUCCUCUCCAUGUUUCCUGAGGUUUUUGCCAGUGCUUCUCCCUGUCGUUAAGUUUUGGACAUUCUUUGUGGUUAUUAUAAUAAUACCUGCACUGCACACACAC
Molecule: long non-coding RNA, 1886 nt
Organism: Seriola aureovittata
Lineage: Eukaryota; Metazoa; Chordata; Actinopteri; Carangiformes; Carangidae
Exons: 3
Source: RefSeq, a predicted model, not a curated record